GGAGGACCACGUCUCUAUGGUGUGCCGGGGGCCGCGCGGGCCGGGAGUUGGGUGGGCUGGGGGACAGGCGGGCCCGCGCCGCCCGCUCCAGCUGGGCUAGUGCUGCACAUUCCGGCCAGCCCCUCCUCAAGACCCCAUUCCCAAGCCCCUUCUCAGCUCCCUCAGGCCGGCAGAGCGGCUCUGAUCAGUAAAAUGCUGUUGAAGGCCCACGGGCAUGACUGCACCCCUCACUAAUUGGUCAUUGGUUUGGGGAGGACACCACUGUCCCAAUGGAACCUUGAGCACACCUUGGAGCCCUCCUCUUCCUCUCCGGACCUGCGCCAAACUGUGAGUGGCACAGAGCAAGGGCUGUAUGUGUUCUCUUCUUUGUUGCAUACUCAGUUCCUUCACCACAGUGCCAAGCACACAGCGAGCACUCCCUGUGUAUCUGCUGAGUAAAUAAACGAAUGAACAAACCCAACACAUUUCAGCCAAGUCCUGCUGAUGUUUCUCCUCCAAUCCAGCUCCUCCUUUCCAGCCUUACUUCUGCCACUCCAGAUUUCACCCCCAUCAGCUUCAGACUGGAUGAAAGGAAACCAUUUCUCUAAAGGAUCACUUGCUCUCUCAUUUCAGGCCAUCCUGCAGCCACCAGAACCUUCCACAUGAAAUGAAAGGCUCACCACUUCAUAGGCUUUAAGGAAAUUCUUGGCCAGGUGUGGUGCCUCACUCCUGUAAUCCCAGUGCUUUAAGAGGCCAAGAUGGGAGGAUUGUUUGAGCCAGGUGUUUGAGACCAGCCUGGGCAACGUCGUAAGACCCCAUCUCUACAAAAAAAAAAAAAAAAAAUUGGCUGGGUGCGGUGGCUCAUGUCUGUAAUCCCAGCAAUUUUGGAGGCUGAGGCGGGUGGAUCACUUGAGGUCAGGAGUUCGAGACCAGCCUGGCCAACAUGGUGAAACCCCGUCACUACUAAAAAUACAAAAAUUAGCCAGGCAUGGCGGCAGGUGCCUGUAAUCCCAGCUACUUGCGAGGCUGAGGAAGAAGAUUUGCGUGAACCUAGGAGGUGGAGGUUGCAGUGAGCCAAGAUCAUGCUGCUGCACUCCAGCCUGGGCAACAGAGUGAGACUCCAU
Molecule: long non-coding RNA, 1103 nt
Filed under: Pan troglodytes (chimpanzee)
Lineage: Eukaryota; Metazoa; Chordata; Mammalia; Primates; Hominidae
Description: long non-coding RNA NONPTRT013886
Source: RNAcentral